GCCUACGACCAUAUCACCCUGAAUGCGCCCGAUCUCGUCUGAUCUCGGAAGCUAAGCAUGGUCGAGCCUGGUUAGUACUUGGAUGGGAGACUGCCUGGGAAUAUUAGGUGUUGUAGGCU
Molecule: ribosomal RNA, 119 nt
Filed under: Petromyzon marinus (sea lamprey)
Lineage: Eukaryota; Metazoa; Chordata; Hyperoartia; Petromyzontiformes; Petromyzontidae
Source: RNAcentral